This 2709-nucleotide ribosomal RNA is filed under the name Triticum aestivum (bread wheat). Its description in RNAcentral is "partial small subunit ribosomal RNA". Lineage: Eukaryota; Viridiplantae; Streptophyta; Magnoliopsida; Poales; Poaceae. The record is from RNAcentral.
AUGGAUCUUUGCCAAGUUCUGGGUCAGGAGUUGGAUGCGCUGGAGAUUGAGAUAGUACAGAAGGGGACAAUACAUCCAAGGAAGAGUUGCAAGAUGAACAGUUCAUGUGCAGAUGUCCUUUUUGCUGCACAUAGGUGGCAGAUGUCCAAACCAAGCUUAGUUUCUGAGUUAAAGGAUGUCUUCGAUCAGAAAGCCAGUAACAAGCACUGGAUUGAUGUGCAACCAAGAUGGGGAGACUAUGAUUCGCAUGACAUAGAACAUUACGCAAGAGCAAAAUUUAUGGACUACAUGACAGAUAAUUUGUCCAUCUACCGUACUCCGACUGCUUAUAAUUUGCACUCUGCUUUUGGUAAUUGGUUCCCUGGGUCAAAGCCCCUCCUUCAGCAAGCAAUGAACAAGAUCAUGAAGUCAAAUCCUGCUCUGUAUGUGCUGAGGGAGAGAAUAGGAAAGGGUCUUCAGUUGUAUUCAUCUGAACCCACUGCCCACCGAGCCAUAUGUGUCUUCAUAGAACUACGGUACUGAGAGAUAUUCAGCAAUCAAAUCAUAUGGUUUGUGGAUGACACAAAUGUCUAUCGAGUUACCAUUCACAAAAUCGAGGGUAACCUGACGGCCAAACCAAUCAAUGGUGCUAUCUUUAUUUUCAGUCCAAGAACUGGUCAACCAACUAUUUCUGAAGGUCAUCCACACAAGUGUAUGGGCAGGACAAAAGCGUCUAGGGCAGCUGGCCAAGUGGAGAACAGCCGAGGAGGUUGCUGCACUAGUUCGAUCUUUUCCCGUUGAGAGCAACCAAAGCAAAUUAUUGUGACAAGGAAGGGUAUGAGCAAGCAACAUUUGCAUCGAAGACAGAUUUGCGUGUCAGGGCCAUCUCUGCUAUGAACCCUUAUCUUCGUGUCAACCGCAUUUAUGUUAACUCGGAUGAUAAAAAGGUCAGAGGCACAAUUUAUUUUCUUCGAUUUACCCAUAAAGUCGCCAAAUGGCUACAGGAGACUGGUUAUACUUACAUCAUGACAAAGAAUAUAUUGAAGAAGUUGAUAUGCAUAGCAGAUCUACGGACACAGGUUGCAGGUUUCCUGUAUGGGCUGAGUCCACAGGAUAAUCCCCAAGUCAGGGAGAUGAGAUGCAUAUCCAUUCCGCCACAACAUGGAAGUCACCAAUGGUGACUUUGCCAGCGAAUAUCCCAGGGCAUGAGUUCCUUGCUGACUUGGAGCCGUUGGGACCUAGUCGAAUGGAGCUCCUCAGCUAUCACCUCAAGAUUUGGCAUGACAUGCUAAAAUUUUGGAGAAGAACGAGGCGUGGCAUGGUGAAAAGGGCAUCAUUUUGACCUGCCCGUGAACAUCUUGGGUCAGUGGUUAUGCUUGCGAGAAGAAAAAACCUAUCAGGGUCAGUGGUCAUCACUUGUCAAACUGAAUCGUUAUCGUCAAGUGGAUGUUUUUCUUGGUGUUAUCAUCCUUUUACUCGUUGAUACUUUGUGAUUUGAGCUUCUUUAUUGAAGCUUAAUGUGUUAUGUCCGUCUGGUUGCUCUUCUUAAAAUUGGAGCACUUGCAGAUUUCUGUUGCUAGGUUAAGUUUACUUUGUCGGUCAGUGUUUGGUUAUAUAUGUUUCAGUCAGUCAGUUUUAUGCCUGAGAGCAAAUCAGUUGUUCUGGACCUGAUCAAACCUCAGCUAUUGCUUGAGCCAGUUCUGGGAUGGUGACCCCUUGAAGAGUCUGGUCAAAGCAAGCCAGUACUGCAGCAUCAACAUUACUACUGUAACCAUCUUGGCACUGACGAUGGCUUUGCUGUUCCGAGCCUCGUUGCGUACGUGAGUCCCAUGGAAACCGACACCUGACAGCAAUAGCAGUGGAUGUUUCUUCUUCUUUGAGACUAAAGUUGUUUUGAUAGUAACUUGGAUUAUGAGCGCCUCAAAGCAUUGGUUUGUCGAUAUAUUACUGUUAGGCAUGCAAAUGAACCAGAUUAAGUAAGAGAAAGGAAGGCAACUUACCUCAAAAUUAUGCUGAAAAAUCUGUGUUGGUCCCAAGCAAAAUGUUGUACAAAAAUGCAGUAGCAGUUGCAGGCAUGUCAAACAAGUGAUUUGAUUUGAUUUGUAGCAAAAGACUGAAAGGAAUUGUUCCUUGAGAACUUGGAAUAGGUGAUGGUAACUAAGAAUUAUACCAAUAAUUGUAACUGUCCUGGGAUGAUAAGCAGUCACACUGUCGCCUCAGCUAUUGUUUCUGUUUCCGUGGAGCAUCGAUCAUAUAAUUAUGCAGCAGAGAAUGUCUCCCACGCUUCCCCAUCAACACAAAGAAGCUCAGUUCAGGCAGUCCAACAAGAAAAACAGAAAAGGAGUCCAUCCAAGGUCUUGUCUGAUCAAUCGAACACCUCAAGGUCGUUGGCUGCAAUGGAGGCCGUUAGAGAUUCUGACGUUGCGUUCCUUCCAACAAAUUUUCUUCUGAUUAUUUUGAUGUUGUAUGCUUCACAUCGGUUUCUGUUGCUCGGAUCCGAUCCAUGUCACACCGAAGGCAUAAGUGAGAUAGCAGGAGAGGAGAGUGGGACUUGGACCAGAGAAAGGAGAUUGGAAUUCAGAUUUCACGCAUCGCAUACCUCACGUUUACACCCUCUGUAUUGCUGUGGUGAUCAGGUGUGACAUGGACCUGCUGCCCGAAGAGAUCGCUGGUGGCGAACGUGCUCUGCACUCUGCUGAGCCGACACGGUGAUAUGUAAAACUAUAUGUG